GUUGUGAACGGUGCAUGCCAGGGAUCUAGGUCACAUGCUACUUAUGAGAAUCUAAUGCCUGAUGAUCUGAGGUAGAACAGUUUCAUCUGGAAACCACCCCUCCCUGCCCUGGUGCGUGGGAUGAUUGUCUUCUACAAAACCCAUCCUGGGUGCCAAAAACGUUGGGGAUCAUUGGUAUAGACAGUGAUAAGUAACAGUCAAUGUUAUUGUUCUGCAUCAAUGGCAAGUACCAUCCUGUCCUAUUUUUAGAAGAGACAAAUAAUAACAUCAAUUAGUAAACAUUUACAUGAAUAAAUAAAUGAAAGUUGGAAAGCCAUUGUCAAUGGAGAGAACGUCUCAAUUUUUUAAUCACUGGUUCUCCUUUAUAUUCCUCAAGGUGGAGGCUGUCUUCAGUAGGAUCAUGGAGACCAACAAUGGAUGCUCUUAAACUGCUUUAAGCACACUUCCAUGGUCACAAGCCUUAUGGUUGCCACGGGGCAUGGAGACCAAUAAUGGAUGUCCUUGUUCUGAUUUGAGGAUGCCUCCAAGGUCACAUACUCUAUUUGCACCAUGCUUAGGAAGGAGCAUGAAGACCAAGGGAAGAUGAUAAACACAGAUCAAGGAGGACUGUUUCAUCUGUCUCUGAUCUGCUCUGCUCUGUGAGCCUCAAGAUGGAUGUUUGCCAGCCGAUUCCGUGGUUACAAGCUCUACAGCUGCAUCUAUGUGGUAGGAGCAUGAAGACCAAUAAUGGAUGCACUGAGCUGAUUAUGAAUUUAGCCCUGAUCAAGACUUGUGUUGCUGUCAUGAUAUGAAAGAUUCCAGUAAUGAACGCACUUGAGUUGAUUCAAGCACGCUUCCAUGGUCAUGAGCUCUGUGGUUGCAUCUGUGUGUUAGGAGUAUGCAGACCAAUAUGGAUCAGAAUGGAUGCAUCAAGUGGGCUUCUGCUUGAUGGAAACCUGUAUUGCUGUUGUGUUUGGAAAGAAACUAAUGUGAGUAAUAGCCAAAAUUUUUGUCUUCCUUUGGGUACUUGUCUAAAGGUAUUCACAGUAUUAUUAAAAAUUUUAAAUUAUUAUAAUUAACCAUGGCCCAAUGAUUAACAUAAUAUAGAAGAGUAUGUUUAUGAAUCAAUAAUGUGCCACGUAGAGGUGAAUGAAUGCAAGUGACAUUGUCUAAUGUGGAAAAGGAUUCUGUAGACAGAUGCUUGGUAUGUCUGGCAUCGUGUUCAUAGGUUUUUGUGAAUCAUGUUCUUAU
Molecule: long non-coding RNA, 1230 nt
Organism: Nomascus leucogenys (northern white-cheeked gibbon)
Lineage: Eukaryota; Metazoa; Chordata; Mammalia; Primates; Hylobatidae
Exons: 7
Source: RefSeq, a predicted model, not a curated record